This 292-nucleotide unclassified non-coding RNA is filed under the name plant metagenome. RNAcentral describes it as "partial contains 5.8S ribosomal RNA, internal transcribed spacer 2, and large subunit ribosomal RNA". The stretch from base 1 to 105 matches the Rfam family "5.8S ribosomal RNA", at positions 50 to 154 of the family's 154-position model. The record is from RNAcentral.
GAAAUGCGAUAAGUAAUGUGAAUUGCAGAAUUCAGUGAAUCAUCGAAUCUUUGAACGCACAUUGCGCCCGCUGGUAUUCCGGCGGGCACGCCUGUCCGAGCGUCAUUGCAAUAAUCACGCUCCGCGUGGUGUUGGGGGCCGUCGCGCAAGCGACCCCUCCGGAACCCGUUGGCGGUGGCCCUUCGCCCCGAUCGUCGCGCACGUUACGACGGUGUGGGGGACUGUCCGCCCAAUCGCAACCUUACGCCAAGUUUGACCUCGGAUCAGGCGGGGAUACCCGCUGAACUUAAGC